RNAcentral lists this ribosomal RNA (467 nucleotides) under uncultured bacterium. RNAcentral's name for it is "partial 16S ribosomal RNA". It matches the Rfam family "Bacterial small subunit ribosomal RNA", at positions 29 to 507 of the family's 1533-position model. The record is from RNAcentral.
ACGAACGCUGGCGGCGUGCUUAACACAUGCAAGUCGAACGGAAAGGCCCUGCUUUUGUGGGGUGCUCGAGUGGCGAACGGGUGAGUAACACGUGAGUAACCUGCCCUUGACUUUGGGAUAACUUCAGGAAACUGGGGCUAAUACCGGAUAGGAGCUCCUGCUGCAUGGUGGGGGUUGGAAAGUUUCGGCGGUUGGGGAUGGACUCGCGGCUUAUCAGCUUGUUUGUGGGGUAGUGGCUUACCAAGGCUUUGACGGGUAGCCGGCCUGAGAGGGUGACCGGCCACAUUGGGACUGAGAUACGGCCCAGACGCCUACGGGAGGCAGCAGUGGGGAAUAUUGCACAAUGGGCGGAAGCCUGAUGCAGCAACGCCGCGUGCGGGAUGACGGCCUUCGGGUUGUAAACCGCUUUCGCCUGUGACGAAGCGUGAGUGACGGUAAUGGGUAAAGAAGCACCGGCUAACUACGUG